Long non-coding RNA from Sipha flava (yellow sugarcane aphid), 234 nucleotides. RefSeq lists it as uncharacterized. The transcript is spliced from 3 exons. The record is from RefSeq and is a predicted model, not a curated record. Lineage: Eukaryota; Metazoa; Arthropoda; Insecta; Hemiptera; Aphididae.
GUACUAAAAAAAUUAAAUUACUGCAAAACGCUCAGAGAUCGAAAACAAUUUAUGAUACGUUCAAUAAACAGACGAAACUUGAAACGAUUGAUGUACAAUUAGUACAACAACCAGCUGUAAUACAGUCGGACUAAUUGAAGAACAAUAUUCAGUUGAUUAUCUUAAUGAUCGCGAUAAUAAAUCUGUUGAUUUGAAUAUUGGACAACCAGAUCCAUUUAUAAAUAAAGAUGAUCU